This 228-nucleotide ribosomal RNA is filed under the name uncultured bacterium. RNAcentral describes it as "partial 16S ribosomal RNA". It matches the Rfam family "Bacterial small subunit ribosomal RNA", at positions 30 to 254 of the family's 1533-position model. The record is from RNAcentral.
AUUGAACGCUGGCGGCAUGCCUUACACAUGCAAGUCGAACGGUAACGGCGGGGGCAACCCUGGCGACGAGUGGCGAACGGGUGAGUAAUACAUCGGAACGUACCCAGUAGGUGGGGGAUAGCUCGGCGAAAGCCGGAUUAAUACCGCAUACGACCUAUGGGUGAAAGGCGGGGGAGUCGCAAGACCUCGCGCUAUUGGAGCGGCCGAUGUCGGAUUAGCUAGUUGGUG